Molecule: ribosomal RNA, 759 nt
Filed under: uncultured Porphyromonas sp.
Lineage: Bacteria; Pseudomonadati; Bacteroidota; Bacteroidia; Bacteroidales; Porphyromonadaceae
Description: bacterial SSU rRNA
Rfam family: Bacterial small subunit ribosomal RNA
Source: RNAcentral
GAUGAACGCUAGCGAUAGGCUUAACACAUGCAAGUCGAGGGGCAGCAUGAUCUUAGCUUGCUAAGGUCGAUGGCGACCGGCGCACGGGUGCGUAACGCGUAUGCAACUUGCCUUACAGAGGGGGAUAACCCGUUGAAAGACGGACUAAAACCGCAUACACUUGUAUUAUUGCAUGAUAUUACAAGGAAAUAUUUAUAGCUGUAAGAUAGGCAUGCGUCCCAUUAGCUGGUUGGUGAGGUAACGGCUCACCAAGGCGACGAUGGGUAGGGGAACUGAGAGGUUUAUCCCCCACACUGGUACUGAGACACGGACCAGACUCCUACGGGAGGCAGCAGUGAGGAAUAUUGGUCAAUGGGCGAGAGCCUGAACCAGCCAAGUCGCGUGAAGGAAGACAGUCCUAAGGAUUGUAAACUUCUUUUAUACGGGAAUAACGGGCGAUACGAGUAUUGCAUUGAGUGUACCGUAAGAAUAAGCAUCGGCUAACUCCGUGCCAGCAGCCGCGGUAAUACGGAGGAUGCGAGCGUUAUCCGGAUUUAUUGGGUUUAAAGGGUGCGUAGGUUGUUCGGUAAGUCAGCGGUGAAACCUGAGCGCUCAACGUUCAGCCUGCCGUUGAAACUGCCGGGCUUGAGUUCAGUGGCGGCAGGCGGAAUUCGUGGUGUAGCGGUGAAAUGCAUAGAUAUCACGAGGAACUCCGAUUGCGAAGGCAGCUUGCCAUACUGCGACUGACACUGAAGCACGAAGGCGUGGGUAUCAAACAGG